This is a long non-coding RNA of Neodiprion virginianus, 578 nucleotides long. RefSeq lists it as uncharacterized. The transcript is spliced from 2 exons. NCBI's taxonomy places the organism in Eukaryota, Metazoa, Arthropoda, Insecta, Hymenoptera, Diprionidae. The record is from RefSeq and is a predicted model, not a curated record.
CCACGUCGCGACUCUCGCUUGUUCUAGAAGUUUCGGGGACGAACAAGAUUGGACGUGCCUCUCGUAGACUCCGAAUGACACACAUCAGUGAUGAAUGCGUUGAGUAUAUCUCACUGCCCUCGUGUCGAGAAUUUUAUCGAGCUACGGAUUUAUAUUUUGAUGUAAUUGCGAUAAUGACUCUAUUACAUUUAUUUUUUCGUAGUAUUAGCGUAAAUAUCUGAUGAAUUCUCGCGAUACCCGACGACAACGGUUUCGUCAAUUGAGAAUCCCUCUCCGCAAUCUCGAUUUUCCGAAGACAGUACGAUCUGAAUUAUGGUCUUCAGUAUAAUAGAAGCGAAGGGCGAAAAAUGAGAGAUGCUCCAUUUUCAGAAAUAUCUCAGUUUCUUUACGACUGAAUUAAACUCAGGUUCCGUCCUGAUAGAUCCCUGAACGGACGUUCCUGGCGACGUAGCAUGUAUAAUUGCAUAUCGGCAAAUUGUUGUUCAGUUGUAACACGACACGGCGCGACGGGCAAAACCCGGCAAUGACCUAGAACACCAAAAUUGUAAAUAGCUCAUUUGACAGGUCUUUCAUAAUUC